RNAcentral lists this long non-coding RNA (958 nucleotides) under Ursus americanus (American black bear). RNAcentral's name for it is "lncRNA (ENSUAMG00000001095.1)". The record is from RNAcentral. Lineage: Eukaryota; Metazoa; Chordata; Mammalia; Carnivora; Ursidae.
CGGGAAGAAGUCGGAAUGAGAGCCUGAGGGCAGACCAGAAAAAGGCCCUGGGGGCCAGAGGCUGGGCCGAGGUAUCAAGAAUGCUCACCUGUCCAAAGCUGGGAGUGGGGUCUCCGGCCCAAGUGGCUUAUCUCUGGGCUCUGCACAGACCUGGACAGGGAGGCAACUGACCAGGAGGCUGGCCUGCUAGUCCCACCCCUGGAUACAGUAACCAUGACCCUUACCUGGCUCCCCAUAGGCUGGCCUUUGGAUCCCAGCCCUUAAAUCCAUGUAUUGUUUCCUCACACAUUCCCUCCCCCUGACCUGGCACAGGACAUUGCUUCCGGACAGGGAACGGAGAUAGGCCAGCUGGGCCACAGAGGCAAGGCAGCAGUCCCACCUGGCCAAGAACCCAGGCUUGCACAAGCAAUGCCUUUCCGGGCAGUGGAGAGCCCCCAGCCAGUCUGCUGUCACCUCCUUGCAAAGCAGUAGCUGAGUGAGGGAGCUCCUUUUGCUUUUGGAAGGGACGAGGCUGAGACUGAGACUUCUCGGGGCCUGCGGAUGCGGAUGUCCUGCCAGCAACCCUCCCUGAUGGCAGAAAACAUGUCACACGAUAACCGCCCACGGUCAGAAUCGCAAAUCCGUGGGGAUCGUCCACCAGCACCACCUGGCCUCACACAUGAGUAAACUGAAGCGCAGGGAUUGAGCCGGGGAAGGGGCCGCAGCACUGGGCGCCCCACAGCCACAAACUCCCCAUGGGACUUGGCACACGCCAUUGUCUGGUCUGCCUCAGUUUUCUCAGAUAAAGAGUCAUUUUGAUAUGAAUUAAGAUCAACGCCUUACGUUCUGGGAUCGAGCCCCACAUCAGGUUCCUCCACUGGGAGCCUGCUUCUUCCCCUCCCACUUCCCCUGCCUGUGUUCCCUCUCUCGCUGGCUGUCUCUCUCUCUGUCAAAUAAAUAAAUAAAAUCUUAAAAAAAA